AGUGAACGCUGGCGGUAGGCCUAACACAUGCAAGUCGAACGGCAGCACAGUAAGAGCUUGCUCUUACGGGUGGCGAGUGGCGGACGGGUGAGGAAUACAUCGGAAUCUACUUUUUCGUGGGGGAUAACGUAGGGAAACUUACGCUAAUACCGCAUACGACCUACGGGUGAAAGCAUGGGAUCUUCGGACCUUGCGCGAUUGAAUUAGCCGAUGUUGGAUUAGCUAGUGGGCGGGGUAAAGGCCCACCAAGGCGACGAUCCGUAGCUGGUCUGAGAGGAUGAUAAGCCACACUGGAACUGAGACACGGUCCAGACUCAUACGGGAGGCAGCAGUGGGGAAUAUUGGACAAUGGGCGCAAGCCUGAUCCAACCAUACCGCGUGGGUGAAGAAGGCCUUCGGGUUGUAAAGCCCUUUUGUUGGGAAAGAAAAGCAGAAGGUUAAUACCCCGCUGUUCUGACGGUACCCAAAGAAUAAGCACCGGCUAACUUCGUG
This 492-nucleotide ribosomal RNA is filed under the name uncultured bacterium. RNAcentral's name for it is "partial 16S ribosomal RNA". It matches the Rfam family "Bacterial small subunit ribosomal RNA", at positions 29 to 507 of the family's 1533-position model. The record is from RNAcentral.